This 468-nucleotide ribosomal RNA is filed under the name uncultured bacterium. RNAcentral's name for it is "partial 16S ribosomal RNA". It matches the Rfam family "Bacterial small subunit ribosomal RNA", at positions 28 to 507 of the family's 1533-position model. The record is from RNAcentral.
GACGAACGCUGGCGGCGUGCUUAACACAUGCAAGUCGAACGGAAAGGCCCUGCUUUUGUGGGGUGCUCGAGUGGCGAACGGGUGAGUAACACGUGAGUAACCUGCCCUUGACUUUGGUAUAACUUCAGGAAACUGGGGCUAAUACCGGAUAGGAGCUCCUGCUGCAUGGUGGGGGUUGGAAAGUUUCGGCGGUUGGGGAUGGACUCGCGGCUUAUCAGCUUGUUGGUGGGGUAGUGGCUUACCAAGGCUUUGACGGGUAGCCGGCCUGAGAGGGUGACCGGCCACAUUGGGACUGAGAUACGGCCCAGACUCCUACGGGAGGAAGCAGUGGGGAAUAUUGCAAAAUGGGCGGAAGCCUGAUGCAGCAACGCCGCGUGCGGGAUGACGGCCUUCGGGUUGUAAACCGCUUUCGCCUGUGACGAAGCGUGAGUGACGGUAAUGGGUAAAGAAGCACCGGCUAACUACGUG